This 351-nucleotide ribosomal RNA is filed under the name uncultured bacterium. RNAcentral's name for it is "partial 16S ribosomal RNA". It matches the Rfam family "Bacterial small subunit ribosomal RNA", at positions 527 to 881 of the family's 1533-position model. The record is from RNAcentral.
GGGGGAUGCGAGCGUUAUCCGGAUUUAUUGGGUUUAAAGGGCGCGUAGGCGGGACGCCAAGUCAGCGGUAAAAGACUGCAGCUAAACUGUAGCACGCCGUUGAAACUGGCGACCUGGAGACGAGACGAGGGAGGCGGAACNAGUGNAGUAGCGGUGANAUGCUUAGAUAUCACUUGGAACCCCGAUAGCGAAGGCAGCUUCCCAGGCUCGAUCUGACGCUGAUGCGCGAGAGCGUGGGUAGCGAACAGGAUUAGAUACCCUGGUAGUCCACGCCGUANACGAUGCUCACUGGAUCUUGGCGAUACACUGCCAGGGUUCNNGCGAAAGUAUUNNGUGAGCCACCUGGGGAGU